Molecule: long non-coding RNA, 587 nt
Filed under: Rattus norvegicus (Norway rat)
Lineage: Eukaryota; Metazoa; Chordata; Mammalia; Rodentia; Muridae
Description: long non-coding RNA NONRATT015105
Source: RNAcentral
ACCGCUGUUCACCACUAGAGGGAGCCCUAGCAAGGGGACAAGCCUGGACAUGCGCAGUAAGUCGUUUAUAUCCAGACAAGGCUGGAUGUCGGCGCCAUCUUUGUUUCGCCGCGCAGCUCUCUACAAGACUUAAAAUAAAAUAAAUCUAAUACAGUGUCUUGCAAGGUAAACAUGCUUGCUGUGAAAGCCUGGAAACCCUGUCUAAUUCCUGGAAUGAAAAAUAAAAAAUAAGGAAAAAAUUGAUUCCAUAUGAUUAUCCUCUGAGCUACACAUAUGCACUGCUAGCACUCACAUUCACUCUGGCUAAGUAAAUAGAUAAAAUUUAAAAUGUAUUAAAAAUGCCCCAAACUUUAAAGGUUAUUUAGUUCCACAGGUCCAUAUUUACUGCUAUAGAUGAACUGCUAUGAGGAGUUUUCACAUUGAUUUUAAGUUAUUAAUGAUUAAACAUUUUUAGCCUAUAUUCCAACAAACUAAAUAAUUAUAUUUGUACUCAUUAUAUGUAAAAUUAUUUUCUAAAACUGUAUCUCUGUCAUUAAUUAUUUUUUCCAUCAUUCAUUUCGUAAUGAAAACCAAUUCUUCCAAUGUAC